ACUACUCACUUCAAGUUUAAGAUUUCCUUUUCCGGAAGAAAAAGUAUUGUGAGAAAAAAGUCUUUAAUUAGAACAGGAGUGACUUUAAAUAUGAGAAAAUAUCUUAAACUUGGAGUCGUAAGCCAUUUGUGUCCCCAUCUAUCAUAUAUAAAGGAAGGACGUCCAUGUCAAGAAAAAUACGCGGCUAACAUGAAAGGCUUUCCGGAAGUAGAUUAAAACUCAGAUACCAGUAAAGAUCCGGAACUUAUCGCUGUUGAGUGGAUUUCCACUAGUGGCCACUCUUCUUCUACUUAAAUUAGUCACGACUUUUUCAUUCAUAAAAAUAUGUCCAUUAAGAAAUCAUCUUACAUCAGGGGAUCAAAUGGAGUUUUUCCUUUCAUAGUAUUUAAAAGUUCAACAGGAUUAUAGUCGUGUGAAGAGUAUCAGGUGAUUUUUUGGAGUGUUGGACCUCCUUGGUCACCAAUUUACCGACUACUGUUCAAUUAUAGGCAAGAAAAAUACUUAAUCAAAGGUGUCGCUUUCCUAAAACAAAUGCAAUUGCUAAAAGUUUAAAUACUAGUAAGUAAGAAGUCAGCAAAUUAGUUCCCCGUCUGGCGCGUGAAUACUUACUAUAAUUUUAUUUAAUGAUUUAAGUCCCAUCCCACAGGGAAGGUUAAUUUCGAAAUAUUUCGUGAAUUAGCGAAACCUACACCAAAUGUUUUGUCAAAGACGGCAUCCAGACGGUACCAACGAGACCAAAAGGGUCGCACUAAUGAAAGGAAGUCAAGGAGGAGGGGAUAGUGCAAUUUGUAAUGAAAAUUAGUUCGUUUUAUUUAAUUGAAAGCAGAGGAAUAUAAUAGAAGGAUAAAACAAAUCUGGGGAACGGCUAUCCACAUAAAAAUCUAACAUCAAGAAAAUACGGGGACGGUACCAGGUCUUUGAAACCUGUUAGAAAUACAGAAUUCAAAGAAGCGGGAAAUAAUUCAACGGAACUUACAAAAGGACUAAAGAUUAAAUGAAUGUUCGUUGUUAUUGUUAGCUAUAUCGAAAGAAAAAAAGUUAACUUUUUUCUGGUGUUCUGCUUACUGCAUGUCGAUAGUGCAUAUGUAUUUAUAAAGAAAUUCGUUAAUUCUGAAAGAAAGAAAUGAUAAUUGUAAACUGAGUUUUAUGUAAUAUUCUCAGCAGUUCGCCAAGAUUUUAUCAGCAUUCUGUCGAGAUGAACUUUAAAGAAUAAAAUGUCCAAAUAUCAAACGUUUUCUUAAGUAGAGUGACGAAUUGCUCAAGAGCUACCUGCCACUUUUGUAAGUCGGGGACCAAACUUUUCCAGCAGACAAAAAGAAAGGACUUGGGGUGAUUUUGACAUCCUGAGGGGUUUCUGCCUCAAGUAACAUUCGAUCAACUCUUGAUAAAGUUUUCAAAGACUGGCUACAUCCUCCGGUCUUUUCACGACAAAAAUGUCAAAUAAUACUCCAUUGUUUCCACACAAAAGGGUAUUUGCUAAAGUGUCCAAGCUUGUUUGGGACCCCGACGGAGUAAUCCAGGGUUCAAGUGACUUGGAAUUUAUCACGUGAUUGGUACAUAGCGGGGAUGAUCGUACAAUGGCGAGCAUCACAACAAAAGCUUGGGGUUUAGUGGACAAUAGUAAAUUUUAAAAACUGUUAUUAACAUGUACCCAAGAUAAUAAUGUCUGGUUUGAAUGCUCUUGGCAAGGUUGAAUUUAAAUACUCAUG
This is a long non-coding RNA of Saccostrea cuccullata (small rock oyster), 1709 nucleotides long. RefSeq lists it as uncharacterized. NCBI's taxonomy places the organism in Eukaryota, Metazoa, Mollusca, Bivalvia, Ostreida, Ostreidae. The transcript has 2 exons. The record is from RefSeq and is a predicted model, not a curated record.